RNAcentral lists this transfer RNA (72 nucleotides) under Heterocephalus glaber (naked mole-rat). It matches the Rfam family "tRNA". From Rfam's summary of the family: Transfer RNA (tRNA) molecules are approximately 80 nucleotides in length. The record is from Rfam by way of RNAcentral. Lineage: Eukaryota; Metazoa; Chordata; Mammalia; Rodentia; Bathyergidae.
CAUGGUGUAGCUCAGUGGUAGAGAACUUGCCUAGCAUGCUUAAGGUCCUGGGUUCCAUCCUUAGUACCAUGA